This 76-nucleotide microRNA precursor is filed under the name Myotis brandtii (Brandt's bat). RNAcentral describes it as "mir-9229 microRNA precursor family". It matches the Rfam family "mir-9229 microRNA precursor family". Lineage: Eukaryota; Metazoa; Chordata; Mammalia; Chiroptera; Vespertilionidae. The record is from Rfam by way of RNAcentral.
GAGACACCCCUAUGGAGCAGGACUUGCUUCAGUGGGGCUUUGGUGCUCACUGAGUCUUCGGUUUGAGUGUGUAUCU